RNAcentral lists this ribosomal RNA (683 nucleotides) under uncultured bacterium. RNAcentral describes it as "bacterial SSU rRNA". It matches the Rfam family "Bacterial small subunit ribosomal RNA", at positions 140 to 809 of the family's 1533-position model. The record is from RNAcentral.
GGGAUACCACUUGGAAACAGGUGUUAAUGCCGGAUAACAACAAUAGCUGCAUGGCUAUUGCUUAAAAGGCGGCGAAAGCUGUCGCUAAAGGAUGGACCCGCGGUGCAUUAGCUAGUUGGUAAGGUAAUGGCUUACCAAGGCGACGAUGCAUAGCCGAGUUGAGAGACUGAUCGGCCACAUUGGGACUGAGACACGGCCCAAACUCCUACGGGAGGCAGCAGUAGGGAAUCUUCCACAAUGGGCGAAAGCCUGAUGGAGCAACGCCGCGUGAGUGAAGAAGGUUUUCGGAUCGUAAAGCUCUGUUGUUGGUGAAGAAGGAUAGAGGUAGUAACUGGCCCCUAUUUGACGGUAAUCAACCAGAAAGUCACGGCUAACUACGUGCCAGCAGCCGCGGUAAUACGUAGGUGGCAAGCGUUGUCCGGAUUUAUUGGGCGUAAAGCGAGCGCAGGCGGAAAGAUAAGUCUGAUGUGAAAGCCCCCGGCUUAACCGAGGAAUUGCAUCGGAAACUGUGUUUCUUGAGUGCAGAAGAGGAGAGUGGAACUCCAUGUGUAGCGGUGGAAUGCGUAGAUAUAUGGAAGAACACCAGUGGCGAAGGCGGCUCUCUGGUCUGUAACUGACGCUGAGGCUCGAAAGCAUGGGUAGCGAACAGGAUUAGAUACCCUGGUAGUCCAUGCCGUAAACGA